CAUUUUCGUAUUUCUUUUCCUCGUCGCGGAUUAUUUCGGCCCAGGGUGUUGGCCGCGAAACGAGCUUUCCGAAAAGUACUCACGGGCCCCGUGACUCCAUCGGGAUCGAAAGUUAGGCUCGUGAACGUAAAGACGGGCGAAAUCUGUUUGCCAAGCAAUUCCCGUUUCCGUAUUUCGUCGUAUGUAAGUAUUAUUCCGUUAAUUGAGUGGCUCAAAGGGCGGAAGUUGAACACUCUAGACUUCGCUCGAGAAGAGAAAUGGAGUCGCUUCAAGUAAAUUUGCUUUGCAUAACAUGAC
RNAcentral lists this unclassified non-coding RNA (297 nucleotides) under Melaleuca ericifolia. The record is from RNAcentral. Lineage: Eukaryota; Viridiplantae; Streptophyta; Magnoliopsida; Myrtales; Myrtaceae.